UGGAGGUGCAUCUUGGCGACGGGCACAGCAUUUCCUGGGCGUCUAAUUUGCGAGGCUUUGGAGGGGAAGGAAUUCAAGUCGCUCCCUUUUUCUUCAUUAGCCAUCAGUCACAGCGCACCCCCUCCCUGGCACCGCCCUGCGUCACACAUUCCUAUGGCUUCACUUUGGACUGGAGGCAGAGAGGCUGGCUGGAAGGACGGCCGGGUCGUCGUCACUCAGAAAAACAAGAGGGAAAGGGAACCAAACAGUUGCCAACCUACAGAGCCUCCAAGACCUUUUAUGACGGUGCAAAGUAGGUUCACCCCAACUUUUAUGAGAGGACUGUGAAGAAUAACUGCUAUCUGUUGAACAACGGCCAUGCUGAUUCUCCAACUCCUGCACUAGCCAGGCUUGGUCCUGCCACAGGGCCUUUGGCCUUUCCGCCUCUUUGGCUGGAAAUAUUCUUUCCAGAUACCCAUGUGACUAACUCCCCCUAUUAUUAUUUUUUUAAUUAGUCCGCC
This 500-nucleotide long non-coding RNA is filed under the name Marmota monax (woodchuck). Lineage: Eukaryota; Metazoa; Chordata; Mammalia; Rodentia; Sciuridae. The record is from RNAcentral.